This 608-nucleotide ribosomal RNA is filed under the name uncultured gamma proteobacterium kpj147rc. Its description in RNAcentral is "bacterial SSU rRNA". It matches the Rfam family "Bacterial small subunit ribosomal RNA", at positions 891 to 1500 of the family's 1533-position model. Lineage: Bacteria; Pseudomonadati; Pseudomonadota; Gammaproteobacteria. The record is from RNAcentral.
AGGCUAAAACUCAAAUGAAUUGACGGGGACCCGCACAAGCGGUGGAGCAUGUGGUUUAAUUCGAUGCAACGCGAAAACCCUUACCUACUCUUGACAUACUUGGGAGCUCUUGUAAUGAGAGUGUGCCUUAUGGAACCAAGAUACAGGUGCUGCAUGGCUGUCGUCAGCUCGUGUCGUGAGAUGUUCCGUUAAGUCGGAUAACGAGCGCAACCCUUACCCUUAUUUGCCAGCGAUUCGGUCGGGAACUAUAAGGGGACUGCCGGUGAUAAACCGGAGGAAGGUGAGGACGACGUCAAGUCAUCAUGGCCCUUACGAGUAGGGCUACACACGUGCUACAAUGGGGAAUACAGACGGACGCUAAGCCGCGAGGUGGUGCUAAUCCUAGAAAGUUUCUCGUAGUCCGGAUUGGAGUCUGCAACUCGACUCCAUGAAGUCGGAAUCGCUAGUAGUCGCGGAUCAGCAUGCCGCGGUGAAUACGUUCUCGGGUCUUGUACACACCGCCCGUCACACCAUGGAAGUGGAUUGCACCAGAAGUAGAUAGUCUAACCGCAAGGAGGGCGAUUACCACGGUAGGGUUCAUGACUGGGGUGAAGUCGUAACAAGGUAAC